GACGAACGCUGGCGGCGUGCUUAACACAUGCAAGUCGAACGGAAAGGCCCUGCUUUUGUGGGGUGCUCGAGUGGCGAACGGGUGAGUAACACGUGAGUAACCUGCCCUUGACUUUGGGAUAACUUCAGGAAACUGGGGCUAAUACCGGCUAGGAGCUCCUGCUGCAUGGUGGGGGUUGGAAAGUUUCGGCGGUGGGGGAUGGACUCGCGGCUUAUCAGCUUGUUGGUGGGGUAGUGGCUUACCAAGGCUUUGACGGGUAGCCGGCCUGAGAGGGUGACCGGCCACAUUGGGACUGAGGUACGGCCCAGACUCCUACGGGAGGCAGCAGUGGGGAAUAUUGCCCAACGGGCGGAAGCCUGAUGCAGCAACGCCGCGUGCGGGAUGACGGCCUUCGGGUUGUAAACCGCUUUCGGCUGUGACGAAGCGUGAGUGACGGUAAUGGGUAAAGAAGCACCGGCUAACUACGUG
Molecule: ribosomal RNA, 468 nt
Filed under: uncultured bacterium
Lineage: Bacteria
Description: partial 16S ribosomal RNA
Rfam family: Bacterial small subunit ribosomal RNA
Source: RNAcentral